Lotus japonicus is the source of this 2959-nucleotide long non-coding RNA. RefSeq lists it as uncharacterized. The record is from RefSeq and is a predicted model, not a curated record. The transcript has 12 exons. NCBI's taxonomy places the organism in Eukaryota, Viridiplantae, Streptophyta, Magnoliopsida, Fabales, Fabaceae.
GUUUGCUUUGACCAAAAUGGAAAUCCUCCAGCAAUCUUAUCUCCUUUUGUAUUUCACAUUUUCACUGAUGUUUUGGAUUCUCCUUUUCAUCCGUUUUCAUCUUCCAGCGCUUUUAAUCACGUCGCACGUUCUCCCUUUCAUGUCUUCCGUUUCCUUCGAUCGUGUGAGCAGAACCGGAACAGGGCGCGAAUGAGGCGAAGCAGAUGAGAUUGAAGGCGGAUUUCAAUCUUCUGGGCUUUGGGGGUUCUUUGCUUCUUGCAGAAAUUGGUGGAAUGAUAUGGGGUUUAGGGUUUCUGCCGCUCUUUCCAUCAUCAGGAUUUGGUCUGGACAGCCUUCCUUCCAAGAUUAAUCUGAACCAGAGCAUGUCAUUUCCGUCAUCAUCGUCCAGGUUUUGCGAAUACUAGGAGACGACAACGUGCGGCCACAAAAGGGCUCCCAUGAAGUCCUCAGCAAGCGCCGACGAUUUCCGGAAUUUUCGUCAAAUUUCGGGAGAGUUGCCCAUGAAAUCGUCGUUGGGGGGUUCUCUAAGGACUAAGGUGGUGAUUCAGAAAUUUGAAAGCUUUUGGAUUUUCUCAUGCGUUAAUUUGUGGGUGUUUUUAUAUGUGUGAAUUUUUUAAGCUUACUUAUGUUGUCGUUGUUCGUGAAGCACUAGAGCCAUUGGAUGAAUUGAAGCAAGGGUGACUGAGGAAGUGGUGAAUGAUGGGGAGGGUUUUUUUUGAAGAAUUUGGGUGAUGAGAAGCCUGCAACCGAGGAAAAAGAGGCAGCAUAUGGAAACAAGGAAAGCCCUGUUAAUGAAAGUGAAGAAAAGGAGCCUGAGGACAAGGAGAUGACACUGGAAGAAUAUGAGAAGGUGCUGGAAGAGAAAAGAAAAGCCCUGCAAGCACUCAAGACUGAAGUGAGAAAGGUGGAUGCAAAGGAGUUUGAAUCCAUGCAGCCACUUUCCCACAAGAAAGACAACGAUGAGAUCUUUGCUAAAUUGGGAUCUGACAAGGAUAAGCGCAGAGAUGCUAUUGAGAAGGAGAAAUCAAAGAAGAAAAGGGGAAGGUAAGCAACACAACAAUGAAAAUGACUCCCUUUCCGAGAAUCGCGACAGGAUCAAUGAGCAAGCUGAUUCUCCACCUCUGGUGGCUUCUCUGUCUUAGAUACCAGCAUGGAUUCAGGGUGAAGAGGAGCACAGCGGUGUAUCCAGCAAGUCGUCCUUUUCCUCCUCUGAUUCUCACCAUCGAUGAAAACGAUUUUGGGUGUUUCAUCUGUCAUCUAAAAGCAAGGAGGGCGAGUGAAGCAGCAAGCACCAUUGAACACCGAGUGGUGAACCCUUUGAAUGAGUGUCACGGUUUCGAUGCUGCUCCUUUUUCCAUGUUCCGCGUUCCUAACCUCGAUUAUGUGGUGCUUUUUUGGUGUUCAACACCGCAGCACAUUGAUUAUGGUGGUGAGUCACCCCCCAUGAGGUCAAUGUUAGUAGGUUUUGGUUGCUCAAAAGUUCCUUCUUAAUGAGAGUGUUUUUUUCUCUGCAAUUUUAGGGUUUGAUCUCUCAAGUUCUGAAAUUAUGUUUUGCUACUGAUGUUGUGGGUCUCUCUUGAGGUCCUAUUUUCAUGUGAGUAUGUCUUCCAUUGUUUGUUUUAUGCCAAAAUAAUUUACUAAACAUAUGACUUUGCCUAUUGUAGCAGAUAAUGUUUGCCUGAAUAUAUCACGCCAUGGUUCAGCAAAAUUUUAUUUUAUUCAAUCUCCAAUACUCAGGACUAGGCUCCUCCACCUUCCUCCUUGCUUGCCAAAUCUGGCGGUGCCAAGAAGAAGGUUUGCGUUUCUCUCUUUUUUUGGUUUCGUUUCUUUUUCUCCCCUUAAUGUAAUAUCUCUUGAUGGGAGUAAUCGGUUGGAUUUGUUUUAUUAUCCAUGAUGGGUGUCAGAGCUCACAUAAAAAAUUUGAUACCAAUAAUUUUCUACAAAGAAUAAAUUUUUGUUACGAUUUAUGCAAUAUGAAAGAUGGGGUGUGUGGUAUAAAGGUCAUAUAUUUGUGCUAACCAUAGGUGGAGCAAGGGAUCGAAAAAGGAUCAAGCCAGCUAUGACAAGCUUCUCAGUGAAGCACCCAAAUACAAACUCCUCACUCCUUCCAUUCUCUCUGAAGUCUGAUUGUUUAAGGAUGUCUCUUUUUCUCCCUGUCUUUUAGUUAGUUCUGAUAUAUAUUAUUCAUGUUGAUGAGGAAUCAUGUGUUGGUGUUGUUUUGGUGAAUGUUCUGUGUUAUGGUUACAUUUGAUCUCAUUUCGUACUUGACGCUGAGACAGGUGGAGUUGUCGGAGUAAGACCAAACAAUGGUGGAUGAAUGUUUAAUGGCAAGAUUUCGCUGGACAAAAAGGUUUGCUUUCUGUUUCUUUGAUUUGCAUCUUUGUGCCUUUAGGUAAUGCCAUCUACUUCUAUAUUUAUUUUUCUAUUAUCUCAUUAAAAAAACCUAUUUUUCCUUACUAUUGUUUUAUACAUGUUCCGCUCCUCUGCUGCGUGUAAUGAACACAAGUGGAGAUGAUCAGGAAGUGGGGGUCCUGGAGUUUAUCAGGUAAACUUCUUUAUUAACUACUUUAUCCAUCUCUUAUGGUCAAGAAUCUUGGUCCACUGAUUGCGCUCCAAAAACAUGCUUUUCUGACACUUUUGUGAGGAGGCUGGGUUUGUGGAUGUUGCCCAUGUUCCUAAGCUUUCAAUGCCGGAAAUAUUUCAUGGACUGCAGGUACAUCCUACUUCACAAAGCUGUAAAGUGUACCAAGAUAUAGAAAAACUAUAAAUUGUAUCAAGUUUUCAUGUUUUCUCAACUUUCUUUCUUUUGUGGGCUUAGGAUAUCCAAUCACUAAAGCUAUCAGUUGUAGUCAGGUUGAUUAUAUAUUUAGCAGAAUUAUCAUGGUAGCACAUGUAUGUAAUAUUUAGCAAUUUCAUCACGAUUUUUUUCCUUAUAUAUAAAAUUCAUUUUUUCGUUUUA